RNAcentral lists this non-coding RNA (217 nucleotides) under Metabacillus litoralis. RNAcentral describes it as "Bacillus litoralis T-box sequence". It matches the Rfam family "T-box leader". From Rfam's summary of the family: Uncharged tRNA acts as the effector for transcription antitermination of genes in the T-box leader family. T-boxes are found upstream of many aminoacyl-tRNA synthetase genes and some amino acid biosynthetic genes usually in Gram-positive bacteria. The record is from RNAcentral. Lineage: Bacteria; Bacillati; Bacillota; Bacilli; Caryophanales; Bacillaceae.
UGAAAAGCUAUGAUGGGAAACCCAGUAGUAGUUAUCUCCCUGUUAACAAAGAGUCGAUGGAUGGUGCAAAUCGAUACAAAGAUAACACGAAUUACAUUCCUUGAGUUUUCUUUGUGAAACAAGUAGCAAAGAACGGACGAGCCGUUAAUCGUUGAGUGGAGGGAUUAUGUUAUCAAUUAGGGUGGUACCGCGUGAACAAGAAGACCACGUCCCUUUU